RNAcentral lists this ribosomal RNA (357 nucleotides) under uncultured Funneliformis. RNAcentral's name for it is "SSU rRNA". It matches the Rfam family "Eukaryotic small subunit ribosomal RNA", at positions 569 to 929 of the family's 1831-position model. The record is from RNAcentral. Lineage: Eukaryota; Fungi; Glomeromycota; Glomeromycetes; Glomerales; Glomeraceae.
AGCAGCCGCGGUAAUUCCAGCUCCAAUAGCGUAUAUUAAAGUUGUUGCGGUUAAAAAGCUCGUAGUUGAAUUUCGGGAUCAAUAUUUCGGUCAUGCCGUUGGUAUGCACUGUUAUCAUUGAUUUCUCACCUUCUAAAGAAACGUAAUGCCAUUAAUUUGGUGUUACGGGGAAUUAGGACUGUUACCUUGAAAAAAUUAGAGUGUUUAAAGCAGGCUCACGCUUGAAUACAUUAGCAUGGAAUAAUGAAAUAGGACAUCCGAUUCUAUUUUGUUGGUUUCUAGGAUCGAUGUAAUGAUUAAUAGGGAUAGUUGGGGGCAUUAGUAUUCAAUUGUCAGAGGUGAAAUUCUUGGAUUUAU